CCUACGGGAGGCAGCAGUGAGGAAUAUUGGUCAAUGGACGAGAGUCUGAACCAGCCAAGUCGCGUGAAGGAUGACUGCCCUAUGGGUUGUAAACUUCUUUUAUAUGGGAAUAAAGUGCUCCACGUGUGGGAUUUUGUAUGUACCAUAUGAAUAAGCAUCGGCUAACUCCGUGCCAGCAGCCGCGGGAAUACGGAGGAUCCGAGCGUUAUCCGGAUUUAUUGGGUUUAAAGGGUGCGUAGGUGGAUUUUUAAGUCAGGUGGGAAAGUUUGCGGCUCAACCGUAAAAUUGCCGUUGAAACUGGCAGUCUUGAGUAGAAUAGAGGUAGGCGGAAUGCGUGGUGUAGCGGUGAAAUGCAUAGAUAUCACGCAGAACUCCGAUUGCGAAGGCAGUUCACUGGACUGCAACUGACACUGAGGCACGAAAGUGUGGGGAUCAAACAGGAUUAGAUACCCUUGUAGUC
This 460-nucleotide ribosomal RNA is filed under the name uncultured bacterium. Its description in RNAcentral is "partial 16S ribosomal RNA". It matches the Rfam family "Bacterial small subunit ribosomal RNA", at positions 338 to 795 of the family's 1533-position model. The record is from RNAcentral.